CAGACACUGCAUUUUGAUACAAGUUGAGCUUCUCAUGUCAUUUCAGAAAUCUUAAGGUGCAACACCUGGGCAGACCUGCAAACCAGACACAAACAGGACAUGAUUGUGCAAACAUGAUUGUGCCAAGGACAAUGGCAGUCCCAUGGCCAGGCAGGAGGAGACAGCAGAUGAUUCAAGGGGAUACAGACAAGAGCCUACAAGCAUUUGCUUGUUGCCUUUGGGGGACUUGU
Oxyura jamaicensis (ruddy duck) is the source of this 230-nucleotide long non-coding RNA. RefSeq lists it as uncharacterized. The transcript is spliced from 3 exons. The record is from RefSeq and is a predicted model, not a curated record. Lineage: Eukaryota; Metazoa; Chordata; Aves; Anseriformes; Anatidae.